This is a non-coding RNA of Scylla paramamosain (green mud crab), 85 nucleotides long. The record is from the annotation of a RefSeq genome assembly. Lineage: Eukaryota; Metazoa; Arthropoda; Malacostraca; Decapoda; Portunidae.
GUCAGGUUGGCCGAGUGGUCUAAGGCGCCAGACUUAAAGUUCUGGUACUCGAAAGAGUGCGUGGGUUCGAACCCCACACCUGACA